This 520-nucleotide ribosomal RNA is filed under the name uncultured Glomus. RNAcentral describes it as "SSU rRNA". It matches the Rfam family "Eukaryotic small subunit ribosomal RNA", at positions 569 to 1090 of the family's 1831-position model. Lineage: Eukaryota; Fungi; Glomeromycota; Glomeromycetes; Glomerales; Glomeraceae. The record is from RNAcentral.
AGCAGCCGCGGUAAUUCCAGCUCCAAUAGCGUAUAUUAAAGUUGUUGCAGUUAAAAAGCUCGUAGUUGAAUUUCGAGAUCGGUUUAUUGGUCGUGCUAUUGUACGUACUGGUAUUACCGGUUUCUCCUUUCUGACGAACCUUAAUGCCAUUAAUUUGGUGUUUUGGGAAAUCAGGACUGUUACUUUGAAAAAAUUAGAGUGUUUAAAGCAGGCUCACGCUUGAAUACAUUAGCAUGGAAUAACGGAAUAGGACGUUUGAUUCUAUUUUGUUGGUUUCUAGGAUCGACGUAAUGAUUAAUAGGGAUAGUUGGGGGCAUUAGUAUUCAAUUGUCAGAGGUGAAAUUCUUGGAUUUAUUGAAGACUAACUACUGCGAAAGCAAUUUGCCAAGGAUGUUUUCAUUAAUCAAGAACGAAAGUUAGGGGAUCGAAGACGAUCAGAUACCGUCGUAGUCUUAACCAUAAACUAUGCCGACUAGGGAUCGGAUGAUGUUAAUUUUUUAAUGACUCAUUCGGCGCCUUA